RNAcentral lists this ribosomal RNA (536 nucleotides) under uncultured bacterium. Its description in RNAcentral is "partial 16S ribosomal RNA". It matches the Rfam family "Bacterial small subunit ribosomal RNA", at positions 355 to 883 of the family's 1533-position model. The record is from RNAcentral.
UGGGGAAUUUUGGACAAUGGGGGAAACCCCUGAUCCAGCCAUCCCGCGUGUGCGAUGAAGGCCUUCGGGUUGUAAAGCACUUUUGGCAGGAAAGAAACGUCGCGGGUUAAUACCCCGCGAAACUGACGGUACCUGCAGAAUAAGCACCGGCUAACUACGUGCCAGCAGCCGCGGUAAUACGUAGGGUGCAAGCGUUAAUCGGAAUUACUGGGCGUAAAGCGUGCGCAGGCGGUUCGGAAAGAAAGAUGUGAAAUCCCAGAGCUUAACUUUGGAACUGCAUUUUUAACUACCGGGCUAGAGUGUGUCAGAGGGAGGUGGAAUUCCGCGUGUAGCAGUGAAAUGCGUAGAUAUGCGGAGGAACACCGAUGGCGAAGGCAGCCUCCUGGGAUAACACUGACGCUCAUGCACGAAAGCGUGGGGAGCAAACAGGAUUAGAUACCCUGGUAGUCCACGCCCUAAACGAUGUCAACUAGCUGUUGGGGCCUUCGGGCCUUGGUAGCGCAGCUAACGCGUGAAGUUGACCGCCUGGGGAGUAC